GGGACAACAGUUGGAAACGACUGCUAAUACCGCAUAAGCGCACAGCUUCGCAUGAAGCAGUGUGAAAAACUCCGGUGGUACAGGAUGGACCCGCGUCUGAUUAGAUAGUUGGUGAGAUAACGGCCCACCAAGUCAACGAUCAGUAGCCGGCCUGAGAGGGCGAACGGCCACAUUGGGACUGAGACACGGCCCAAACUCCUACGGGAGGCAGCAGUGGGGAAUAUUGCACAAUGGGGGAAACCCUGAUGCAGCGACGCCGCGUGAGUGAAGAAGUAUUUCGGUAUGUAAAGCUCUAUCAGCAGGGAAGAAAACAAUGACGGUACCUGACUAAGAAGCCCCGGCUAACUACGUGCCAGCAGCCGCGGUAAUACGUAGGGGGCAAGCGUUAUCCGGAUUUACUGGGUGUAAAGGGAGCGUAGACGGUAGACCAAGUCUGAAGUGAAAGCCCGGGGCUCAACCCCGGAACUGCUUUGGAAACUGGUAAACUAGAGUGCAGGAGAGGUAAGUGGAAUUCCUAGUGUAGCGGUGAAAUGCGUAGAUAUUAGGAGGAACACCAGUGGCGAAGGCGGCUUACUGGACUGUAACUGACGUUGAGGCUCGAAAGCGUGGGGAGCAAACAGGAUUAGAUACCCUGGUAGUCCACGCCGUAA
RNAcentral lists this ribosomal RNA (650 nucleotides) under uncultured bacterium. RNAcentral describes it as "bacterial SSU rRNA". It matches the Rfam family "Bacterial small subunit ribosomal RNA", at positions 140 to 805 of the family's 1533-position model. The record is from RNAcentral.